Molecule: transfer RNA, 76 nt
Filed under: Bacteroidetes bacterium GWA2_31_9b
Lineage: Bacteria; Pseudomonadati; Bacteroidota
Also listed under: 5 other names
Description: tRNA-Arg
Rfam family: tRNA
About the family: Transfer RNA (tRNA) molecules are approximately 80 nucleotides in length. Their secondary structure includes four short double-helical elements and three loops (D, anti-codon, and T loops).
Source: RNAcentral
GGACCUGUAGCAUAAUGGAUAGUGCAUCUGGCUACGGACCAGAAGGUUGGGGGUUCGAGUCCCUCCAGGUUCACAA